GAUGAACGCUAGCGGCAGGCUUAAUACAUGCAAGUCGAGGGGCAGCGCAGUGUAGCAAUACAUGGGCGGCGACCGGCAAACGGGUGCGUAACACGUACGCAACCUUCCCGUUACUGUGGGAUAGCCCAGGGAAACUUGGAUUAAUACCACAUAUUGCCAUUGGGAGGCAUCUCUUGAUGGCCAAAGAAUUUCGGUAACGGAUGGGCGUGCGGUUGAUUAGGUAGUUGGCGGGGUAACGGCCCACCAAGCCUACGAUCAAUAGCUGAUGUGAGAGCAUGAUCAGCCACACGGGCACUGAGACACGGGCCCGACUCCUACGGGAGGCAGCAGUAAGGAAUAUUGGGCAAUGGACGAAAGUCUGACCCAGCCAUGCCGCGUGAAGGAUGAAGGUCCUCUGGAUUGUAAACUUCUUUUUUCUGGGGAGAAAUGCAUCUUUUCUAAGGUGUUUGACGGUACCAGAAGAUAAGCACCGGCUAACUCCGUGCCAGCAGCCG
This 494-nucleotide ribosomal RNA is filed under the name uncultured bacterium. RNAcentral's name for it is "bacterial SSU rRNA". It matches the Rfam family "Bacterial small subunit ribosomal RNA", at positions 28 to 517 of the family's 1533-position model. The record is from RNAcentral.